UUAAAAAGAAUUUAUUACAUGAUAAGAUUUGAAUUUGAAAUUUUAAAGUUUUUAUGUAUUUUCCUAUUAAACUAAGGUAUAUUGGUAAUAUUAAUGAUUUUUAAGCACAAGAAUUUGAAUUAAUUUAAAAUUUAUUAUUCCAAUAAUUCAAAUUUCUAACUUUUAAGUCUUUUUUUUUGAAUGAAAAUAGUUGGAUUUAUGGGAAAACAAAGCCCAAAACAAAAUAAUCCAAAAUACAUAGAAAGGCCAAUAUAUAAGAUACGACCCAGACCCAGUAAAAUCAUUACCUGAGACAACAUAAGUUAAAUCCCAUUAAUCAUCACAACUUUCAAAACCUACAAACUCUUCAUUUUCCGGGAACCCCUUUCCUCUUCAUUUUCCCGAAAACCUACAACUUCAGCAAAAACAGAAGUAGAACGACUCCCAUUAACAAGAUAGCCCAUUCCUUGGACGAUCUCUUUCCACCAGCUCCACGGCGUAAUCAGGUACGCUUCCAUUUUCGUUACUAUGUUCUCCAUUUCUUAAACCUUUUGCUAACAGAUUUGCCACUUUAUUCUUCAUUCUUCAUUCUUCAUUCUUUUGCCAUAUAGAAACUUGCAUAUCUAGAAAUCCCGACUUAACUGUAAACAGUCUUUAAUGAUAGCACCGAUCUCCAAUUUAUCUUCCCCUUUCAUUUGUAGUUUUAUUUUUUUUAUUUUUUUUAUUACUGAUAGAGCAUCCCCCUCUACCUCUAUAGCCAUAACCCCCAAAUCCAUCCCCAUUUGAAGCCUUUGAACACAUGCAAUAGCCUCUGCAACAAAAAUCGAAGGAGCACACACAUUUUAAUAACCCUAGACCCCAAAAUCUUCCCCUUUGAAUCCCGUACAACGAUCCCAGAGCAAGACCUAUGUUCCUCCUUAUUGUAUGCGACAUCAAAGUUGAUUUUCACAAAGGGAAUCUCCGGUGGUUUCCACCUCUCUACCUCCCUCGGUUUGACAAGAAUUAUUUUCAAACAACCAGGUAAUCCAACUCAAAAAAUCCAUGUUUCCGAUGGAGUUUGGCCACUUACAGUUUAAAUGUUGCCAAAAUUGUUUUGACACAGAACAAUCUUGAAAGAUAUGUUCUCUAGAUUCCACCGUUUUAGCACAAACAUGAAAGAUGGCAUUUGUAGUUAAUCUUCUGUACUGUAGAUCCCUGAGUGUUGGGAUAAAAUUCAUGAAGCAUCUCCAUAUUAUCAAAAAUAUUCUCAUUAUUUUGCAAUCUGUAAUCCUCAAAUCUUGGCACCCAUGCAACUCCUUUUGCUGGAAUAUUUUUCCAGUUUCCACUCGCCAACACAGUCCUUAGAGAAAUCCUUUUGUCGCCCAUAUACUCUUCUAAGUAAAAGAAGGUAGAUUCCCCAACCUUGCUUUUAAGAAGUCCGUCGUUGGAUAGUAUUUAGGUUUUAACGUACGAGCAAGCAAAGAAUUUGGAAAUGUAACUAACCUCCAGCCUUGUUUUGCAAGGAAUUAUAAAUUACAUUCACGUAAUGCCAAAAACAGCUUUUAAUGUUUGGCUGUUUGGUCA
This is a long non-coding RNA of Gossypium raimondii (Peruvian cotton), 1542 nucleotides long. RefSeq lists it as uncharacterized. The record is from RefSeq and is a predicted model, not a curated record. NCBI's taxonomy places the organism in Eukaryota, Viridiplantae, Streptophyta, Magnoliopsida, Malvales, Malvaceae. The transcript has 2 exons.